UUGCUUCAACAGCCCAUACACUAAAAUUGUAAUGAUACAGAGAAGAUUAACAUGGCCCCUGGGCAAGGAUGACAUGCAAAUUCAUGAAGUGUCCCAUGAUUUA
Small nuclear RNA from Mastomys coucha (southern multimammate mouse), 103 nucleotides. NCBI's taxonomy places the organism in Eukaryota, Metazoa, Chordata, Mammalia, Rodentia, Muridae. The record is from RefSeq and is a predicted model, not a curated record.